Molecule: long non-coding RNA, 687 nt
Organism: Tupaia belangeri chinensis (Chinese tree shrew)
Lineage: Eukaryota; Metazoa; Chordata; Mammalia; Scandentia; Tupaiidae
Exons: 3
Source: RefSeq, a predicted model, not a curated record
AGGAAAUGGAAAUAAAAAUUUAGAAUUAUCAAUGGAAACCAUUGUGUCUGAGACUGUGUUUGAUGGAGAAGCCAUUGAUCCAGUCUCUGGGAAUGUAUAUGAAUAUAACAGCAGAACAGGUGCAAGAAAAUGGAAGAAGCCCCCCAAGUACCAGGAGGAGUCCUUGGCAAACAUAUACUCCGUCCCAGAGGCCCACCCCACUGAAGGGUCUACAUCCUUAAAAAUUCCUAAGCAAGGAUAGCAUUUUCUAGUGUCUGUGAAUUAUUGUUGUUGGGUUUUUUUUUAUGUAUAUGAAUGCUGUGGGCAGUUUUUUCUUGACUAUGUUAAAUUGUAGAGGUGAGGUCAACUAUGUUUUUAGCUCUCUGUAAUCUUCUAGUUUAGGGCGUCUGGAUGAGGACAGUAGGAGCAGUCAACUUAGAGUCUGAAUGUGUUUUGCAGUAGAGACUAAACUGAUAUGUUAGUUGCCUUAUUUGGCCCAGUAGAAAAAAUGCUUCUUUAGACCAGAGACUUUGUUUUGCUCAAUGCUAUAAUCUGAACACACAUUUGCACAGAAUGGGAACUAUACACACACACACACACACACACACACACAUAGUGAUCAAAUGAUUUCGAGUACAUAAAUUUAGAUCUCUUGCCUUUAAUUCAAAUUACUUGUUCUCCUAUGACUCAUGGAACAGAAAUGAGAAU